GUGAUUCGUCACUGGAAAGUCACCAUCUUUGCUCCAAAGGAUCCUCUCCCACUGUGAUAAGAUUUCAAAUUCCUUUCAUUUUCCUAUAUGCUUUAUCUCGUUUUCACUCCAACCAAACAGAGUUUUGUUCUCCACUUUUGCAAUUACAGAAAAGAAAUGCAGUCUUUCUGUGGGAGUUUAAUUCGGAGGCAAAGCUCGCGUAUUGCUCAUUUCAAAUCCACUGAAGCUUCUUUAGCUAUCAAUAGCAGUAACAUUCAUGGACUAAAUUCUCUAAGGUCUGAUUCAUCGAUUCUAGAUGGAAUUAUUGCUUCGAAGAAUCAUCUUUUCAGGUCAUUUCAUCAGCUCGCUUCUCGCUCCAGUGAAAUCAGUACAGGAUCCACAAACGGGACAGAUUCUUGGGGAGGGUCGCAGAAUGGGUCGAUUAUUUGAGCUUGCAUCUUUACAUCUUCCUCAGAGAUUUGUGUUUGCAGCUACAAUCCCUAAUUCCUCCAUUCACCAAUGGCAUCUUCGUCUUGGUCAUGCUUCUGCCAGUAAAAUUCAACCUUUAAUUUCUCGUGGAUUAUUAGGAUCUACUAAGUUUGAGUCAUUUAAUUGUUUAAAUUGUCAGCUUGCAAAACAACCUGCAUUAUCUUUUUCUCAUAAUAAUACUACUUCAGACACUCCUUUUGGUUUAAUUCAUUCUGACAUUUGGGGUCCUUCUCCUAUUUCUUCAAUAAAUGGUUUUCGUUAUUUUGUGAUAUUUAUUGAUGAUUAUUCUCGGUUUACUUGGAUAUAUUUUUUGAAACAUCGAUCUGAGUUAUCACAAAUUUACAUCACAUUUGCAAAAAUGAUUAAAACUCAGUUCUCUUGUGACAUUAAAAUUCUCCGAACAGACAAUGCCAUGGAAUAUCGGGAUUCUUCUUUACUUCAGUUUCUUAGUCAACAAGGCACCGUUGUUCAACGUUCUUGUCCUCACACCUCUCAACAGAAUGGGCGAGCCGAACGCAAGCAUCGCCAUAUUCUUGAUUCUGUACGUACUCUUCUUCUUUCUGCCUCAUGUCCAGAAAAAUUUUGGGGAGAAGCAGCUCUUCAUGCUGUUUAUAUUAUUAACCGUCUUCCUACCUUGGUUCUUCAUAAUUUAUCUCCUUUUGAAAAGUUGUUUGGACAACCUCCUGACUAUUCCAUCCUUAAACCUUUUGGAUGUGUUUCUUUUGUUCUUUUACAACCUCAUGAACAUACCAAAUUAGAACUCCGUGCUCAUCUAUGUUGUUUUCUUGGUUAUGGCAUUGAACACAAAGGGUAUCGUUGUUGGGAUCUUGUUUCUAAUAAGUUACGCAUCUCUCGUCAUGUUACCUUUUGGAACAAUACUAUGUUCUCUUCUCUUUCCAAAUUUCAUCACUCUGUCAAUACUGACUCUCUAUUUUUCACUUACUCCUCCAAAGAGCUAUUUCCAAGUCCUGAUCCAGGUGAUUGUGAUGUGCUCAAUCUUAGCCCAACUGCACCUGCCCCUGUUGAAUCUGUACCAGUUAUUGAUCCAGUACCUGCGCCUGCAUAUGCUCCUAGCACUACUCUUCGUAGA
RNAcentral lists this unclassified non-coding RNA (1558 nucleotides) under Hevea brasiliensis (rubber tree). The record is from RNAcentral. Lineage: Eukaryota; Viridiplantae; Streptophyta; Magnoliopsida; Malpighiales; Euphorbiaceae.